AAAAUUAAUAACUUACUCAAAAGUAACAUGGUGACUAUCCAGAACUCUGUUUGAGAUCUUUGAAAACAAAAUAGAGCUACCAAUUUGAGUGUAAAGGCCUAGAAAUGCAAAACGAAUGUAAAGUAUUCAUAAAAAUAAGCAAAAUAACAACUAUGUAUUAGCAAUGAAUUUCCAAUUAAAACUGUUCGCGUUGCUUUUCUUGUUCAUUUCGAAUGAGUUGCAUUAAAAAAACAAUUUUUUGAUUUACUUGGCACAAUUUUAAACAUUGCUCUAAAACAUUCGUAAACCCUACGUCGGUAUCAUGAAAACAAACUGAAUCACUUUUAAUAAGUCCUUCUGGUAUUGGUUCCUUUUGAAAAAUGGCAUUUUCGAACAUUAAAUGCUGGUAUUCCUCGUCUCCAGUCCCGAGAUUGACAGCUCUUUUUUGUUGUUUUCCGAACAUAGGAUCUACCCAAGCAAUAGAAAUUCGAGGUUUCUUGAAAGUCGGAGAAUUUUGAUUUGAUAAAAGGGAAGCAACUGAAAAGUCCGAUUUAUUUUUCAGUAGAAGUGAAAAUGCCUAAUAUCAUUAGUAAACUUUAAUAAAAAGGAAUCAUUAACAAAAUAGAUGUUUCAUAGGACAUAAGUAGCAGAUAAUGAGUGUUUUCAACAGUUGGGAGAAAAGCAACAAAUUCGCCCAACGAAUUUAUAAUCUUACUUCAUGUGAUCGGAUCUGUAAUUGCUUUUGCAAUUGUUCACGAGUUUCUAACGAUUGUAGAAGAGAAAGGACAUGAUCAUUGGUGGACAUUAGAAAUUUGUUAAAGAGAAAUAUAAAAAACAGCAAUAAACUAAAAUGAUGAGGGAUAUUGAGUGAAAUUGGGUAAAUGCACUAAUUCGAUGGAUUUAUUCCAAACUCUUCAAGGUUAAAAUGCAGAGGAAAGUAUUAAUAAGGUUUCCACAUAGCUUGAAAUGUGAUGAGUGAAAGAUGAAAAUCACAACAGGUCGAAAGGUAGGUAAAGAAAAGAUGAGGAAAACGAGUCAAAAGGAGAAUGACAAAUUGAUUAUCUCAGCUUUUACAGAGGUAAAAAAUGUAUGUAACAUAUGGCAUUGAAUUCGUCGUUCAUUGGAACAACUUUUUUUUUACUUGGCCUGCUAAAUACUGAGGGAAAAAAUGACAAUACUUUUGAUUAAGAGUAUUGAUUUUUCUUUUAUUUGAAAAAAAUUCCCAUGAAUUUUUUGCUUAAUGCUUUGAAUUAUUGGCGAGUGCUUGAUAUUGAAUUAUCGUGUUUAAGCGCUGGACAGUUUCAUGGGCAAAUACGACAUAUUUUUUCUUGUUAAGUAUUUUUCUAUUUCCUUGAAAAUCUGAUGUACGCAACACAUACUUUUGUAACAAAGACAACAUUGUUGUUUGUAAGAAGACCUAAAAAUGGAUGUCCAUUUCCAUCGCCUCAAACUUAGUGUUUCCCCCUUCUCAUAUGGUUAAAGAUAUUUCAAAAUAAUGUUUAUUUUCUUUUGUUGGGAGUCUUUACUGCUUUAUAGAGUUUUCAUAGGACACCUUACGUAGACUCUUCCUUCCAUCAGUUGAAGACCUAAAUUGUGUUUUUAAAUCUUUUCAUCCAGAAAAAACUACAAUUUAAAAGUCUUUGCACUUUUAAAAGCAAUUGGUCAGGAUUCCCUCUAUGACAGAUGUAAACAAAAAGGGAACUUGUGCAACAAUCUGUUGAAUUUUUAAUUAUAUGGUUUCGCAUUUCCUAUUCCUGCUGCAAGUCAGGGCAGUUCUUCACAUAAAAAGUAAAAAACCACUGAAAGCAAAAAAAUGAAUGAGUAUAUUGUGUUCAGCUAGGAAUACCCAUUUUUCAUCUUCCACCCCGGAUAUAAACAAACAUCUAGCCAGCCAGGUUCACAGAACUUCACCAAUCUUUUUCACGUUCUUUUUUCUUUCAACAUUAUAAUGUUAUUUUAAUAUUAUUUUUCUCUUCCCACUUUC
This is a non-coding RNA of Schizosaccharomyces pombe (fission yeast), 1963 nucleotides long. The record is from the annotation of a GenBank genome assembly. Lineage: Eukaryota; Fungi; Ascomycota; Schizosaccharomycetes; Schizosaccharomycetales; Schizosaccharomycetaceae.